GAUCACGAUCUGAACGGUCGAUAUUCAGUUCACAAGGAUCAACUUCCAUUCCCUUCUCUCUCACAACUCACACAUCUCAUAAAACUUCAUCAGACCUUCUCUCUCUCUCUCUCUCUCUCUCUCUAUCUUGGUGACUCAAGAAUAUCAUGCCAGAUCUCUCACUAGAUGCCAUUUCAUGACCAGAUCUGUGAGGAUUUCACUAGAUCGAUGAAGGUCUGCAACCCUUGGGGGACGGAAGAGAGUGAUGGUGGUGAUGAUCCGGUUACAGGCUUCUAUACGGUGUGGUAGUGGUGGUCCUUAACAGCCACCAUACAUUGUUGACGGUUCCAUGGUUAAAAUGAGAAGAAAGACAAUGCCAGAAAACCCUAGCCGCCACCUCCCGCAGUGGUAGCUAGGGUUCAGGCGAAGUCUCCGACGAAGCUCCGUUGUAAUGACAAUGGUUCUCACACUCGAGCUCAGGUAGAGAAGACCAGGCUUCCAGCGAAGGUAAAACCAUCAGAAGCUGAACCACCAGUGCAGGAGGUUGCAUUCGUGUAGCAGGAAAGUGUGAAUGCUUUAGGGGUAUGCAGGUAAAAUAGUUUGAAUUUAGUAGAAGAUUAUGUAUUCUUUGUUACAUGUUUUAACUGAUGGAGACUUAAUUUUGUUGCAAAGUGCACAACACAAUAGUUGAAACCUUGGUGUGCUGAUAUGACUGAACUCUAAUUUUCAUCUUAUUGGUUGCAAAUCGCAAGUGAUGGGUUUGGUUUCAAACCAAUUUAGAAGUGUUCUUUAUGUCAUAGACGACUUGGAUAAAGACUUAAUUUUGUUGCAAAGUGCACAACAUAAUAGUUGAAACCUUGGUGUGCUUAUAUGAUUGAACUCUAAUUUUCAUCUUAUUGGUUGCAAAUUGCAAGUGAUGGGUUUGAUUUCAAACCAAUUUAGAAGUGUUCUUUUUGUCAUAGAUGACUUGGAUAAUGGAUUAAAGCUAGUUCAGAUAAAAAAAAGCUGGUUAACGCUUCUCCACUUUAAAAAGGUAAGUCGUUGAGCGUUCAGAUUAUUCACAAAUUUGUUACAAAAUUCAGUGGGUUAGAAUAAAAUAUUAAGAAGUUGAGUGCCAGUAAAGAAGCAAAGAACUGUAUGGGUGCCUAAUAUAAAAUUUUAUUAGGUGCCUAUAUUGAUUUUAAGCCAUUUUUAGAACAAAAGUAUAUUGCAUUUAAGAAGUUCAGGGGUUGCCUAGGACCCUCCUGGGCUUCAAGUACAUCCGGCCCUGGCUGCAACGAUCAUGGUUUGUGGAUAUGCCAUUUAUCUGGAUUGCUACAUAGAGUUGAUCAACCAGGAUCAGUUAUUUCACAAUCCUUUUAUUGAUUGUCAAUUUUUCUAAAAUGGUUUAUUUUCUACUGGUACAAAAUUGUAGUUUAUGGAUGCUAAUUUCUUUGUCUUGCAUCUACCGGUAUCCCAUAUGCUGAAAAUCAGUGUCUAAUAUGUCAACUACAUUGAAAGAUUAGACCAACAGGUAUGUUUCAGUCGAUGAGGUAUUCAAAACUAUUUUACGAUUAACUAACUGUAAAAUUAAUAUGGAGGGACCAUCACCAAUCGAAACUCCGAAUAGACCGUAUCAGGAGUUGUGGUCCAGCAAUAGGGACGUUUCAACAUGUGUAGCACACAAAAUAUUUGUUAUUUGUAUUGAGUUGGUAUAUUGGGAUUAAAUAAUGAACUGGUGGAAUAACAGCAUGUCCAGGUCAUGCUUCAAGCUGUCUCCAUCUCUUUGGAGGCCGAUAGGUGGCUUUGGGAGGUGUGUCCUUCAAGGUCUUUUUCAAUCAGCAACAUUAAGAAAGCUUUGUUGUCGUUUAAUAGAGUGCAACCUGCUUAUGUGUUAGAGUGGAACAACCGGGUUCCUAAGAAGGUUGUUGAUGAGAUUCCCCAACAAGAAAAUAGAUCCAAUGGUCAAAAUUGAAACCCUCAAAGCAAUUUCGAGAGCAAAUUCUCAAAUCUGGAUAGCGAUUUUAGUGAUGAAGACAGUGUCGAAUCUUUUGAAAAAGAUUACCUGGUGGUGAGUCUGAUGGAUAUUAUUGGGUACUCACCUAAUGAAGCUUCAGCUGCUGUUAGCAGAUGUGGAACAGAGUGAAGCUGGUGUUUUGGUACGACAAUGAGUGGGGUUAUAGGUAAAAAGUAUGUCUUGCUCGGUCAUUCAGGCCCGUCUGGCUGCUGGUUGUGGGGAUUUGAUACGACAACGAGUUUCCUCGUACAAAUAUGGAAAAUAAAGAACAUUGAUUUGUGCAGCAAUCAGUUGUUGGAUCUAAUACCAUGAGUGUUUAAAAUUGAUUUUUGCGGGUGUUGGAUCUGAUAGAGUAUAUGGCAUUGGUCGCAGCCUCUAUCUGAAAGAGCAUAAAGUUUUGAGUUUUUUUUUAUCUUGAAAUGAUAGUGUAGAAACGAACUGAUGGUUUGAUAUUUGAACCAGACUAUGGCUGCUCUAUUGUCAUGGCUUUAAGCAAACAUGGGAAAUAAAGAAAAAUUGGUAGGCAUUUGCUAUCUUAUAAUCA
This is a long non-coding RNA of Helianthus annuus (common sunflower), 2519 nucleotides long. RefSeq lists it as uncharacterized. Lineage: Eukaryota; Viridiplantae; Streptophyta; Magnoliopsida; Asterales; Asteraceae. The record is from RefSeq and is a predicted model, not a curated record. The transcript is spliced from 6 exons.